Bactrocera dorsalis (oriental fruit fly) is the source of this 578-nucleotide long non-coding RNA. RefSeq lists it as uncharacterized. The transcript has 2 exons. The record is from RefSeq and is a predicted model, not a curated record. NCBI's taxonomy places the organism in Eukaryota, Metazoa, Arthropoda, Insecta, Diptera, Tephritidae.
UUCAUUAAUAUUUGUUUUUUAUGUAUGGGGAUUAUUUCUUGGGAUUUUUGUAUAGCUGUUGUGUUUAGUAAGCUUUGGAAUUCAUUUCACUGUUGAAUGUUAUUACGAAAAGGAGGCGCAGUAACAAUCGCCAAUAAAUGAAAUAAUAAACAAACUUAGGUCGACAUUGUACGCUGAUAAGAGCCUACAGCAAAAGUCAUACAUAAUUUAUAACAGAGGGAGAGUGCCACAAGAGCAGACACUAAUAAACCACGCCACUCGCAUGCCAAAUCAUUCCGCAGCACAUUUCGAAUCGUCCACCAUGCCCGUAUCAUCAUAAUUGUGCAUACAAUAACUACAAUAUAUAUUAUCAAAUACGUUAGUCAAUACAAGUCGGAAGUCGGUGAAGGUGUCUAUGGCUCCACUGUGAAUUACGGUUAGUGCAUGUCUGAAGCUAGUUACGUUCGAAAUCUGGUCGGCGUAGUUCUACGAAAACACCUCAGCAAAAACUGCUUGAAGAGGAGUUCAUUAUGCUGCUUAACUGAUAGACCUCAUUGUGUACAUUAGGGUGCUUCAAACAAAAUUUUGAUUUUUUUUUU